Molecule: long non-coding RNA, 390 nt
Organism: Lagopus muta (rock ptarmigan)
Lineage: Eukaryota; Metazoa; Chordata; Aves; Galliformes; Phasianidae
Exons: 3
Source: RefSeq, a predicted model, not a curated record
CCUGUCUUCCUGAGGCCUUCCAAAGCAUGCCUCACCUUGAACGUGAAUACUGAAAGAUAAGGCAGCCACCUUUAACAAGCAUGCUCUGAGAUAGAAAAUACAAGAACCUUUCAAGGACUGAGGGCCUUUUUGGUGCUGCUGGAGGAAUCUGUGGUCUAGUUAAAUGCAAAUAAAGACGAAAGCUCCAUCUCGGAAGCAAUGCCAUUUUCCCCUCAGAUCAUCAGCACACACUGAUGGAAAAUCUUGCUCUGUAACAAGAAGUGCAGAGAGGUGAGCCUUGAUCUCUGCAGCUUCAGGGGCCUUAGGCCAAGCCAGGAAAGUGCAACACCUUCUGCUCAGGCAGCCCUGCAGUCACUGGCAUUGCAAGAAACUGUGUAAAGUCUUCCUGGG